CCUACGGGCGGCAGCAGUGAGGAAUAUUGGUCAAUGGGCGCGAGCCUGAACCAGCCAAGUAGCGUGAAGGAUGACUGCCCUACGGGUUGUAAACUUCUUUUAUAAAGGAAUAAAGUGAUGCACGUGUGCCUUUUUGUAUGUACUUUAUGAAUAAGGAUCGGCUAACUCCGUGCCAGCAGCCGCGGUAAUACGGAGGAGUCGAGCGUUAUUCGGAUUUAUUUGGGUUAAAGGGAGCGUAGAUGGGUUGUUAAGUCAGUUGGGAAAGUUUGCGGCUCAACCGUAAAAUUGCAAUUGAUACUGGCAGUCUUGAGUACAGGUGAGGUAGGCGGAAUGCGUGGUGUAGCGGUGAAAUGCUUAGAUAUCACGCAGAACUCCGAUUGCGAAGGCAGCUUACUAAACUGCCACUGACAUUGAUGCUCGAAAGUGUGGGUAUCAAACAGGAUUAGAUACCCUAGUAGUC
This 460-nucleotide ribosomal RNA is filed under the name uncultured bacterium. Its description in RNAcentral is "partial 16S ribosomal RNA". It matches the Rfam family "Bacterial small subunit ribosomal RNA", at positions 338 to 795 of the family's 1533-position model. The record is from RNAcentral.